This 2765-nucleotide long non-coding RNA is filed under the name Danio rerio (zebrafish). RNAcentral describes it as "lncRNA (ENSDARG00000117767.1)". Lineage: Eukaryota; Metazoa; Chordata; Actinopteri; Cypriniformes; Danionidae. The record is from RNAcentral.
ACUUUUUUCAUAGAGACAUAUUAUAUUGUAGAUAAUAUAAAGUAAAUCAUUUCAGUUAAUUACAUUUAGUUUCUAUAAAUCUGUUAUAAAACGCUCUGCAUUUGCAUCUCUGGUGUAAGUGUGGAGUCUGAGGCGUUAAAGCUAUUAUUAUUCUUUCAUUCAGUGGCUCCUUUCAUUCUCUCUCUCUCUCUCUCUCUCUCUCUCUCUCUCUCUCUCUCUCUCUCUCUCUCUCUCUCUCUCUCUCUCUUUCCUGCAGUGUGUUUUAUUGCAGUCUUGCUGGGCGUGGAUCAUGUGAGCAGCCAAUCACAGGUCAGCAGGAGGGCGGGGCUCUGGUCUCAUCAUCACAAUAAAAAGCAGAAGGAAACACCAGCAGACACUGUUUGCUUUCCUUCACGUUUUCAUUGGUCCUGCAGACAAAUCUGCUUGUGCUGCAGUGAAUGAAUCUGAAUGAAGACGCUGCCGCACCGAGCAUUCAAUAUCUGUGAUCAAUACAUGGAUCUGCAGCAGCGGUUCAGCUCAAUCAGGCGCUCGUUCUCCUGUGUGCAGCGUUUCAUUGAGCCGCCAGUGAUUCAUAAAUCCUGCAUGCGCUGGUGUCGUCUGCUGUGAGCCGAGAUGAAGGAUUGGAGGAGCUGCUUUUGUAAGGGAUUCUCCGGCUCAAACAGCUGCACGAGUCCCUGCCGCAGAAAUGCUUGUUAGGGCAGAAUCCAGCCGGAGCUCCAGGGAGCAUCCAGACACAGUGACUAUUCAUAACUGUAAUGGCGAUCAACCACGUCGACAAAAAACAGCCAGCCGAGCGGAGCGGGAGAUGUGCUGAAAACACACAUUUAUGGGGAAUACUUACUGUAUCAAAACUCGAAACGCUGUCCAAAAGCAUCAUUCUAGACCAUUGCACACAGACAAUGCAUCACGUCAAGAGGUUUACUGUAGUAGUGUACUCUAGAACAACAACAAGACAGGCUAAAGUCACUCCGAGAGACGAAAACCACAGUAGACGAGUCUAUGAGCAACGCCAAUCCACGAACACACCACUCGCCCCUCAGAGAAAACUGCCAGAUAAACCCAGCGCCAACAUCCUCACUGCCCACGAAAACACACCAAACUGCUGCUUUCACUGCGUUUGGCAUUACAAGACCACCAGUUUCAGACCAGCAUGUGGAGGAUUAGAAAUACUGCAGUGAUUACACAAUCAGAAUGAAUGUAUGGAUGACAUAAAGAGAUACGGAUAAGAUGAAAAAUAAAAGGGAAAUCCUGGGAUCAUCAGUGUGUGUAAAUGGUGCAAAGGUUGUGCUGGGCGGUGGGUGGAGGAAAGGAUGAUCCGAGGGGAAUAUAAUGACUUUUGCAGCUCGCAUGAAGACAGCAGGCAACUGCAGAAGAAGAAAAAACACUAGCGGACAUGGAGAAUGGCUGAUUUAAAGGGAUGGUUCACCUCUAAGUGAAAAUCUAGUCGUUUAUCCAACCCCCUGCAUUUUCCAUUCAUCUAAACACUGAGGGCCCUUUCAAAUGCCAGGGUGUAUUUUUUGCUAUUUUCAGACCGGCACAGCUAUCAUUUUCACAUUUUGCACCACGUACUGUAUAUUCUACAUGAAAUUGUUAACAGUGUUCUUUUAAUCCGGCAGCACAGUGGCUCUUAGCACUUUCUCCUCACAGCUAGAAGGUUGUUGGUUUGAGUCACGGCUAGUCCAGUUGGCAUUUCUGUGUGGGGUUUAUAUGUUCUCCCUGUGUUCGCACGGGGUUCUUCCGGGUGCUCCGGUUUCCCUCACAGUCCAAAGACUGUCUUUACUGGUUUGUGGCUGGAAGGGCAUCCACUGCAUAAAACAUGCUGGAAUAGUUGGCAGUUCAUUCUGCUGUGGUGAUCCCUGAGAAAUAAUGGACUAAACUGAAGGAAAAUGAAUGAAUGAAUAUUCUUUUAAUCCAUUGCAUCAUCGUUUCAGCAAGGUUCUGGAGACAUUCCUCAGAGAUCUUUGUCUAUGUUGACAUGACAGCAUCACAGUUUCUUCAGAUUUGUCGAAUGAACACGGAUGAUGUGAAUCUCCUGUUCCAACAACAUCCCAAAGGUGCUCUGCUGGAUUGACAUCCGCUGACCGUGAAGGUUGUUUGAGUAAAGUGAACUCAACUGUUCAAGAAACCAGUUUCAGAUGCUUUCAGCUUGUAGAUUUUUUGGAGUUUUGUAUGUGUCCUCUGUGAAUGGACAUGAUCAGCAUCAAUACUCAGGUCAGCUGUGGUAUUAAAAGGUGCCGUAAAGUGCUUUGAAGCGUGCAUUUUUUUAUUCCAUGUUUGACAUGAUCUUAACUGAAAAAUUAAGUUGUUUGGAUCUAGAGUAGCUCCUCCCCUGUUUAAAAUCAACCAAUAGCAUUUUGCUUUAAUCACAGCUCUUCCAGUCAGUGUGAUUGAGCUCAGGCGCAUUAAAUGAAAAAUAAAUGAGAUGCGUUUUGAUGGGGGCGGGAUAUGUCAGGUACUUGAGAGCAUUUGAUUGGUCAGAAGAUUUCAAAAAUCGUUAUUGAUUUAGGCAGAAUUUUCUCUUUGCAGGAAGCACAAUAGCUAAUUGAUAUCCUUGAGACUAACAGACUGAAACUGACAUCUAAUUUUUUUAUUUACAUUUAGUCAUUUAAAUUUUAUGGGACCUUUAAACAAUACUUAGGAGUGUGUCAAGAAAUGUCAUAUACACCAUUACACCUGUAGCAGCAUAAACCGUUGAUACACGGCUAAAUGAAUCCACCAAAUUCUGACCCUAUAAUCUAAAUGUUGCUGCAGAAAUUGAGGCAUCA